Molecule: long non-coding RNA, 531 nt
Organism: Hordeum vulgare subsp. vulgare (domesticated barley)
Lineage: Eukaryota; Viridiplantae; Streptophyta; Magnoliopsida; Poales; Poaceae
Exons: 4
Source: RefSeq, a predicted model, not a curated record
UCCAACUCGUGUGCAUGUAUUUUCUUCCAUUAAUAACAUAUAACAUCUUAAUUGAUCUUUUAUUUCCUGAUAUUUUUCGUUUUGAUUUUGCAGUAUCAAGUGAUCAGAAGGCAAACUGAAAACUACAAGAGGAAGGCCUCCCAGUGAGCAGGUGCUAGUAAUCGAUGGCGGCAACGAAAUUGCGAGAGAAGUUACAUGAAACACAAAAGAGGGGAGCUAAAGAUUUUCAAAGUGGAGUAUGUUCUGCAAUGAGAUGUAGAAGGAAGACUUUGAUUUCAAGUUCUAGAUGAACACAAGAAUCUUGGUGGAAGGCUGUGAGCGUCUGUAUGUAGUUGCCCACUACAAGGAGACAAGGCAAAUGAUGUGCCUCUUUAAGACAAAUUCUAGAAAAUAAAGCGAGUAAUUUUUGCUCUUAGGAAAUGAACCAUAAUGUUUCCUCUACUUAAUUAGUUCCAUUAGUUUAUAGGAAAUUUUGAUGGUCAUUAGUUCAUAACAGAUGAUGUAUUUAUAUGGGAAAAUUAAUGAAUGUGC